Octopus sinensis (East Asian common octopus) is the source of this 335-nucleotide long non-coding RNA. RefSeq lists it as uncharacterized. Lineage: Eukaryota; Metazoa; Mollusca; Cephalopoda; Octopoda; Octopodidae. The record is from RefSeq and is a predicted model, not a curated record. The transcript has 3 exons.
CUCACUUGGGAAAAAUCUGGAACCUGAAGAUGUGGUGGUGGCUGGUAGCACUGACUAUAAUUCAUCUUUUCAAAAGUUUGGAAGUUCGAUGGAUGUGAGGGAUGUUUCAGAGGCAAUCCCUGAGCUUGAAGGUGAAGAAAAGCACUAAAGUAGUUCUGUAGCUGGGCUUGCAAGUUGAUCAGAUACUCAAUCUUCUUAAACAUACAAGACGGCUACUGCUAGGUCUUUGACCAAAGGUUUGUCCUAUCAGGGAUUGCCUGGAACUCAACAAUACUAAAAGGAAACAGUUUUGAAAGAUACCUUGCCUUCCUGAGAUGCGAAAAGAAGAAAUGCAA